RNAcentral lists this ribosomal RNA (143 nucleotides) under Pseudobutyrivibrio ruminis DSM 9787. RNAcentral describes it as "partial 16S rRNA. Bacterial SSU". It matches the Rfam family "Bacterial small subunit ribosomal RNA", at positions 19 to 142 of the family's 1533-position model. Lineage: Bacteria; Bacillati; Bacillota; Clostridia; Lachnospirales; Lachnospiraceae. The record is from RNAcentral.
CUGGCUCAGGAUGAACGCUGGCGGCGUGCUUAACACAUGCAAGUCGAACGAAGCAACUUAUUACGAUCCCUUCGGGGUGACGAUUUGUUGACUGAGUGGCGGACGGGUGAGUAACGCGUGGGUAACCUACCUUGUACAGGGGG